Molecule: long non-coding RNA, 511 nt
Filed under: Trifolium pratense (red clover)
Lineage: Eukaryota; Viridiplantae; Streptophyta; Magnoliopsida; Fabales; Fabaceae
Description: long non-coding RNA (TPRA_LNC008807)
Source: RNAcentral
AGGUGUAAUGACGCCGGUGUUCGAGUUAUAAAGGCUAAUGUGGAUUGUACCAUUGAUGAAUGGCUUUCAUCUUCUGCUUUUGGAUUUGAUGAGACACAGCUUAUUGCUUGGGAUGAUAUGCCUCAUGAUACAAGUACUUGAUCUCCUUUUCGAAUUCAGGUAUUAUAUCAUUUCCUAUAUUUUUCGUAGAUGAAGUAGUAAAUAUCACCUGAAACACAUGCACACGAACAAGAGAUUUGGGUUCGAAUCCGUUAACUAUAGAGGAUAUUUAUCCAAUAAUCUCGACAUUGUCAGUUAAAUUAGAUCUUACGAAUAUAUCAUUUCAAUUCUACUAUACCUCUUGAUAAUUCAGUGGUAUUUACUCACCACCGUAUAAGAACAAACCAAAUAAGUAAUUUACAUGCAACGUAAAAAUUAGUUAUGGCUUGUUCUCGUUAAUUGUUGGAUAAAUACUCCUAAACUAUCAAGAAGUAGCAUAAAUCUCACCUUAAUUUAAAGCCAAAUCAGUCCU